Molecule: ribosomal RNA, 250 nt
Filed under: uncultured Flavobacteriaceae bacterium
Lineage: Bacteria; Pseudomonadati; Bacteroidota; Flavobacteriia; Flavobacteriales; Flavobacteriaceae
Description: partial 16S ribosomal RNA
Rfam family: Bacterial small subunit ribosomal RNA
Source: RNAcentral
GAUGAACGCUAGCUGCAGGCUUAAUACAUGCAAGUCGAGGGGUAACAGAGAGUGCUUGCACUCUGCUGACGACCGGCGCACGGGUGAGUAACGCGUAUGCAACCUACCUUUUACAGAGGGAUACCCAAGAGAAAUUUUGAAUAAUACCUCAUAAGCUCUAUUUAUAGCAUUUUAAAUAGAGGAAAACUCCGGUGGUAAAAGAUGGGCAUGCGUCCUAUUAGUUUGUUGGUAAGGUAACGGCUUACCAAGA